Molecule: ribosomal RNA, 497 nt
Filed under: uncultured bacterium
Lineage: Bacteria
Description: partial 16S ribosomal RNA
Rfam family: Bacterial small subunit ribosomal RNA
Source: RNAcentral
AGUGAACGCUGGCGGCAGGCCUAAUACAUGCAAGUCGAGCGAACACACGAUAAGCGUUCUCCUCUGACGUUAGCGACUGACGGACGAGUAAGACAUAGAUAACCUACCAAUAAUACUGGGAUAACUUCGGGGAAACGCAGCUAAUACCAGAGAAUACAAUCAACGGCAUGAAUCAAUAGUUAAAGAGACUUUUGCUGUCACUUAGAGAUGGAGCCGUAACUGAUUAGCUAGUUGGUAAGGUAACGGCAUACCAAGGCGACGAUGCGUAGCUGAUCUGAGAGGAUGAUCAGCCACACUGGAACUGAGACACGGUCCAGACUCCUACGGGAGGCAGCAGUGGGGAAUAUUGGACAAUGGGCGAAAGCCUGAUCCAGCCAUACCGCGUGAGUGAAGAAGGCCUUCGGGUUGUAAAGCCCUUUUGUUGGGAAAGAAAAGCAGCAUGUGAAUCCCCCGCUGUUUUGACGGUACCCAAAGAAUAAGCACCGGCUAACUUCGUG